UGGGGAAUUUUGGGCAAUGGGGGAAACCCUGACCCAGCAACGCCGCGUGAAGGAUGAAGUAUUUCGGUAUGUAAACUUCGAAAGAAUAGGAAGAAUAAAUGACGGUACUAUUUAUAAGGUCCGGCUAACUACGUGCCAGCAGCCGCGGUAAUACGUAGGGACCAAGCGUUGUUCGGAUUUACUGGGCGUAAAGGGCGCGUAGGCGGCAUGACAAGUCACUUGUGAAAUCUCUGGGCUUAACCCAGAACGGCCAAGUGAUACUGUCGCGCUAGAGUGCAGAAGGGGCAAUCGGAAUUCUUGGUGUAGCGGUGAAAUGCGUAGAUAUCAAGAGGAACACCUGAGGCGAAGGCGGGUUGCUAGGCUGACACUGACGCUGAGGCGCGAAAGCUAGGGUAGCAAACGGGAUUAGAUACCCUUGUAGUCCCUGAGCGGGCUGGCAAGGCGCAU
Molecule: ribosomal RNA, 447 nt
Filed under: uncultured bacterium
Lineage: Bacteria
Description: bacterial SSU rRNA
Rfam family: Bacterial small subunit ribosomal RNA
Source: RNAcentral